This 210-nucleotide ribosomal RNA is filed under the name uncultured bacterium. RNAcentral's name for it is "partial 16S ribosomal RNA". It matches the Rfam family "Bacterial small subunit ribosomal RNA", at positions 524 to 733 of the family's 1533-position model. The record is from RNAcentral.
UACAGAGGGUGCGAGCGUUGUCCGGAAUCACUGGGCGUAAAGGGCGCGUAGGUGGCGGCCCAAGUCCAUGGUGAAAGCUCGAUGCUCAACAUCGAGUCGGCCACGGAUACUGGGUUGCUCGAGCACUGUAGGGGCAGAUGGAAUUCCGGGUGUAGCGGUGGAAUGCGUAGAGAUCCGGAAGAACACCGGUGGCGAAGGCGGUCUGCUGGG